UACGUAGGGGGCAAGCGUUGGUCCGGAUUCAUUGGGCGUAAAGAGCGUGUAGGCGGCCAGAUAGGUCGGUUGUGAAAACUGGAGGCUCAACCUCCAGACGUCGACCGAAACCCUCUGGCUAGAGUCCGGAAGAGGAGAAUGGAAUUCCUGGUGUAGCGGUGAAAUGCGCAGAUAUCAGGAAGAACACCCGUGGCGAAGGCGGUUCUCUGGGACGGUACUGACGCUGAGACGCGAAAGCGUGGGGAGCGAACAGG
RNAcentral lists this ribosomal RNA (254 nucleotides) under uncultured bacterium. Its description in RNAcentral is "partial 16S ribosomal RNA". It matches the Rfam family "Bacterial small subunit ribosomal RNA", at positions 524 to 776 of the family's 1533-position model. The record is from RNAcentral.